Molecule: long non-coding RNA, 157 nt
Organism: Rosa chinensis
Lineage: Eukaryota; Viridiplantae; Streptophyta; Magnoliopsida; Rosales; Rosaceae
Exons: 3
Source: RefSeq, a predicted model, not a curated record
UGUUUGGAUUGGUCGCCAUCCUCAUCUACAUCACCGGAGUCUCCGAUCUCUAUGAGAUCAAUCGGCUCACCGAUGAUGAUUUGGAAGCGCUGCAAAAUCUGCAAAGCCGUUUCCAGAAAUGUGUGGCUGCGAAUGGAUUAGGUUUACAAGCUGAGAG